RNAcentral lists this non-coding RNA (547 nucleotides) under Pongo abelii (Sumatran orangutan). The record is from RNAcentral. Lineage: Eukaryota; Metazoa; Chordata; Mammalia; Primates; Hominidae.
CGCCCGCCUGCAAGGCGCACACGCCCGCGGGUUCUGUCUACGGAUCCGGGUCCAGGUGGGAGUUGGGGAGAGGUCUGCGUUUCCUUUGGGGAGCCCCAGUUCUGCACGUCGACAGCCAGUGCGCGGAUCCCAGUCCCACCUCGAGGCCGAUUUGGAUCCUAUUUCGUGUUCCCCUUUUCCAUCCGGUCUCCCCAGAAGGAGAAUGGUUCUCGAGGCUGGAGGAAGGGGGUGGGGACUUGCUUUUUAUGUUUUUUUCUUUUUUCUAUUUUUCUUAAAUAAAGGUUCAUUUCUGUACAACCACGAACUCCGCAGACCGUGCGAGACCCCGCUACCACACGGCCGCCUCGUUCAUUUCGGGGGGGUGGGACAGGCGGGGAGAAAGAUGACAGCGAGAGAGGGGGAAGAUGUAAAAAGUGGAGGAAGUAGGAGAGGAGGAAUGGAGCACAGAAAGAAGGGAAGAGAGAGAUAAAGAGAGGCAGAAUUCCGGUUAAGCAGGUGAGAAGGCAGCAGGAGAGAGAGCGCGGCACCAGGGAAGUGUCAGGGAGGA